CCUACGGGUGGCAGCAGUAGGGAAUCUUCCACAAUGGGCGAAAGCCUGAUGGAGCAACGCCGCGUGGGUGAAGAAGGUCUUCGGAUCGUAAAACCCUGUUGUUAGAGAAGAAAGUUCGUGCGAGUAACUGUUCACGGUUCGACGGUAUCUAACCAGAAAGCCACGGCUAACUACGAGCCAGCAGCCGCGGUAAUACGUAGGUGGCAAGCGUUAUCCGGAUUUUUUGGGCGUAAAGGGAACGCAGGCGGUCUUUUAAGUCUGAUGUGGAAGCCUUCGGCUUAACCGGAGUAGGGCAUUGGAAACUGGGAGACUUGAGUGCAGAAGAGGAGAGUGGAACUCCAUGUGUAGCGGUGAAAUGCGUAGAUAUAUGGAAGAACACCAGUGGCGAAAGCGGCUCUCUGGACUGUAACUGACGCUGAGGUUCGAAAGCGUGGGUAGCAAACAGGAUUAGAUACCCCAGUAGUC
This 465-nucleotide ribosomal RNA is filed under the name uncultured bacterium. RNAcentral's name for it is "partial 16S ribosomal RNA". It matches the Rfam family "Bacterial small subunit ribosomal RNA", at positions 338 to 795 of the family's 1533-position model. The record is from RNAcentral.